This 698-nucleotide long non-coding RNA is filed under the name Olea europaea subsp. europaea. The record is from RNAcentral. Lineage: Eukaryota; Viridiplantae; Streptophyta; Magnoliopsida; Lamiales; Oleaceae.
CCCAAAUUAUGUUUUAUAGUUCGUCGUUGAGUUUUGUUAGUUAAUCCUAAGGGUUUUGCCAUGCGUAUCAGGUGGACAGGCCGCCUCACCCCUUCACAAUAGGUGAGCUGGGAAUGGAGUCUCAAUCUCUGCUUAUAAAUGGCAAAACUGUAACCCUAUAAACCCAACGAGGACGGGCAAAAGGCGAAGCCCUCCACGCGGGCACAAAAAAAACACUAAAUUCAUUCGGUCUACGAAAUUUUCAGUGAAUGGGGAGAUGGAGAGCUUCUUUCCUCUUUUACCGUGUUAUAGCUGCAUCUAAAUCGACUAAUCCAAAUUUUCGCCCAAACCCACCUCUUAGAUCUUCAGUUUCUGCGCAGCCCAGAAAUCAAUUCUUGAAUUUCAGGUCUUUUUCUGCGUUCUCAUCUCCAUCCCCGUUCUAUGCUGAAGAUUUCGAUUAUAAGACCCCCAACUUUGAUCAGAAUCAGAAUUUGGAGGAGUCCAAGGGAAAUGAGGACGCCGGAAAAAUCUCAGUGAAAGCCUUUUUCCUUUGCACCAGGUUCGUUUUUUUUCUCUUUUCCUUUUUUUGUAUAUAAAUUACGUAUUAAUUCUCGGUUCUCUUCUAUUUUAGUUAUGGGGUGUAUGGUUGUAUAAAAUAUUGAAUAUAUAUUAAUUCUGUUGAAAAUUUUCUGUUUAAGUUCUUCAAAAUUGAUGUAAUA